This 253-nucleotide ribosomal RNA is filed under the name uncultured bacterium. RNAcentral's name for it is "partial 16S ribosomal RNA". It matches the Rfam family "Bacterial small subunit ribosomal RNA", at positions 524 to 776 of the family's 1533-position model. The record is from RNAcentral.
UACGUAGGGUGCGAGCGCUAAUCGGAAUUACUGGGCGUAAAGCGUGCGCAGGCGGUUUCACAAGCUCGAUGUGAAAGCCCCGGGCUUAACCUGGGAAUGGCAUUGAGGACUGUGGAGCUCGAGUGCGGCAGAGGGAGGUGGAAUUCCACGUGUAGCAGUGAAAUGCGUAGAGAUGUGGAGGAACACCGAUGGCGAAGGCAGCCUCCUGGGCCGACACUGACGCUCAUGCACGAAAGCGUGGGGAGCAAACAGG